UGGCAGCUUACCAUGCAAGUCGAGCGGAAACGAUGAUAGCUUGCUAUCAGGCGUCGAGCGGCGGACGGGUGAGUAAUACUUAGGAAUCUACCUAGUAGUGGGGGAUAGCUCGGGGAAACUCGAAUUAAUACCGCAUACGACCUACGGGAGAAAGGGGGCAACUUGUUGCUCUCGCUAUUAGAUGAGCCUAAGUCGGAUUAGCUAGAUGGUGGGGUAAAGGCCUACCAUGGCGACGAUCUGUAGCUGGUCUGAGAGGAUGAUCAGCCACACCGGGACUGAGACACGGCCCGGACUCCUACGGGAGGCAGCAGUGGGGAAUAUUGGACAAUGGGGGCAACCCUGAUCCAGCCAUGCCGCGUGUGUGAAGAAGGCCUUUUGGUUGUAAAGCACUUUAAGCAGUGAAGAAGACUCCAUGGUUAAUACCCAUGGACGAUGACAUUAGCUGCAGAAUAAGCACCGGCUAACUCUGUGCCAGCAGCCGCGGUAAUACAGAGGGUGCAAGCGUUAAUCGGAAUUACUGGGCGUAAAGCGAGCGUAGGUGGCUUGAUAAGUCAGAUGUGAAAUCCCCGGGCUUAACCUGGGAACUGCAUCUGAUACUGUUAGGCUAGAAUAGGUGAGAGGAAGGUAGAAUUCCAGGUGUAGCGGUGAAAUGCGUAGAGAUCUGGAGGAAUACCGAUGGCGAAGGCAGCCUUCUGGCAUCAUAUUGACACUGAGGUUCGAAAGCGUGGGUAGCAAACAGGAUUAGAUACCCUGGUAGUCCACGCCGUAAACGAUGUCUACUAGUCGUUGGGUCCCUUGAGGACUUAGUGACGCAGCUAACGCAAUAAGUAGACC
RNAcentral lists this ribosomal RNA (834 nucleotides) under Psychrobacter sp. 8-4. RNAcentral's name for it is "bacterial SSU rRNA". It matches the Rfam family "Bacterial small subunit ribosomal RNA", at positions 44 to 870 of the family's 1533-position model. The record is from RNAcentral. Lineage: Bacteria; Pseudomonadati; Pseudomonadota; Gammaproteobacteria; Moraxellales; Moraxellaceae.